AGCGAACGCUGGCGGCAGGCUUAACACAUGCAAGUCGAACGCCCCGCAAGGGGAGUGGCAGACGGGUGAGUAACACGUGGGAACGUACCCUUUGGUUCGGAAUAACUUGGGGAAACUCAAGCUAAUACCGGAUAAGCCCUUACGGGGAAAGGUUUACUGCCGAAGGAUCGGCCCGCGUCUGAUUAGCUAGUUGGUGAGGUAACGGCUCACCAAGGCGACGAUCAGUAGCUGGUCUGAGAGGAUGAUCAGCCACACUGGGACUGAGACACGGCCCAGACUCCUACGGGAGGCAGCAGUGGGGAAUAUUGGACAAUGGGGGCAACCCUGAUCCAGCCAUGCCGCGUGAGUGAUGAAGGCCCUAGGGUUGUAAAGCUCUUUUACCCGGGACGAUAAUGACUGUACCGGGAGAAUAAGCCCCGGCUAACUUCGUGCCAGCCGCCGCAGUAA
RNAcentral lists this ribosomal RNA (447 nucleotides) under uncultured bacterium. RNAcentral describes it as "partial 16S ribosomal RNA". It matches the Rfam family "Bacterial small subunit ribosomal RNA", at positions 29 to 523 of the family's 1533-position model. The record is from RNAcentral.